This 28-nucleotide small RNA is filed under the name Bombyx mori (domestic silkworm). Its description in RNAcentral is "ovarian small RNA-20928". Lineage: Eukaryota; Metazoa; Arthropoda; Insecta; Lepidoptera; Bombycidae. The record is from RNAcentral.
UACCUUCGAGGGUGACCACCAUCGUGUG